UCGGGAAUUUUGCGCAAUGGACGAAAGUCUGACGCAGCAACGCCGCGUGAGGGAUGACGGCCUUCGGGUUGUAAACCUCUUUUGUCAGGGACGAUGAUGACGGUACCUGACGAAUAAGCCACGGCUAACUACGUGCCAGCAGCCGCGGUAAUACGUAGGUGGCAAGCGUUGUCCGGAUUUACUGGGCGUAAAGAGCGCGCAGGCGGUCGUUCAAGUCGCGUGUGAAAGCCCCCGGCUCAACUGGGGAGGGUCACGCGAUACUGAUCGACUCGAAGGCAGGAGAGGGUAGUGGAAUUCCCGGUGUAGUGGUGAAAUGCGUAGAUAUCGGGAGGAACACCAGUGGCGAAGGCGACUACCUGGCCUGUUUCUUGACGCUGAGGCGCGAAAGCUAGGGGAGCAAACGGGAUUAGAUACCCCGGUAGUCCUAGCCGUAAACGAUGGACACUAGGUGUUGGUGGUAUCAACCCCGCAGUGCCGAAGCUAACGC
RNAcentral lists this ribosomal RNA (487 nucleotides) under uncultured Acidobacteriota bacterium. RNAcentral describes it as "bacterial SSU rRNA". It matches the Rfam family "Bacterial small subunit ribosomal RNA", at positions 355 to 858 of the family's 1533-position model. The record is from RNAcentral. Lineage: Bacteria; Pseudomonadati; Acidobacteriota.